RNAcentral lists this ribosomal RNA (253 nucleotides) under uncultured bacterium. Its description in RNAcentral is "partial 16S ribosomal RNA". It matches the Rfam family "Bacterial small subunit ribosomal RNA", at positions 524 to 776 of the family's 1533-position model. The record is from RNAcentral.
UACGUAGGGGGCUAGCGUUGUCCGGAUUUAUUGGGCGUAAAGAGCGUGUAGGCGGCCAGGUAGGUCUGCUGUGAAAACUCGAGGCUCAACCUCGAGACGCCGGUUGAAACCAUCUGGCUAGAGUCCGGAAGAGGAGAGUGGAAUUCCUGGUGUAGCGGUGAAAUGCGCAGAUAUCAGGAAGAACACCCGUGGCUAAGGCGGCUCUCUAGUACGGUACUGACGCUGAGACGCGAAAGCGUGGGGAGCGAACAGG